Adelges cooleyi (spruce gall adelgid) is the source of this 930-nucleotide long non-coding RNA. RefSeq lists it as uncharacterized. The record is from RefSeq and is a predicted model, not a curated record. The transcript has 5 exons. Lineage: Eukaryota; Metazoa; Arthropoda; Insecta; Hemiptera; Adelgidae.
UGGAAAAAUUAGCCAAUAACCUUGCUCGAUCCGAUAAGACAAAGUUCCGUUCUGUGAUAAAUGCAUAUGGUGAAGAUGAUUUGGAUAUGGUUACUCGUAAAGGUGUUUACUGUUACGAUUAUACUGACUCAUGGGAAAAAUUGGAAGAACAGUGUCUACCGCCUAUAGAACAGUUUUACAGUUCACUGACUGAGAAAAAUAUUUCCCAAGAUGACUAUAAACACGCUCAAAAUGUAUGGAAACGUUUUAAAUUCAAAACUUUAAGCGAAUACAGCUUAUGGUAUAAUGAAUUGGAUGUACAUAUUUUAUGUGAUGUUUUUGAAGCUUUUAGGGAGCUCUGUUUAAAAACAUGAAAUCGAUUGUUGUCAUUAUUAUACUAUCCCUGGUAUGAGUUUCGAUGUUUGUUUGAAAUACACUGAAGCCAAGUUGGAAUUGAUAUCAGACUAUGACAUGUUACUUAUGUUCGAGCAAGGUGUAAGAGGAGGAAUCUGUCAAGCUUCAAAGAGAUACUCUAAAGCUAACCACAGCAAGGCACCCGUAUACAAUCCUGAAGAACCAAACAGAUGGAUAACAUAUCUUGAUGCAACAAAUCUAUAUGGUUGGGCAAUGUCACAAACGAUACCAACUGGUAACUUCAAAUGGUACGAAGGAAAUCUUUCUGUACAAUCUGUUAAAAACCGUUUAGACAGAAUAGAUGACAAAUCGGAAAACGGGUUGAUUUUAGAGGUUGAUGUCGAAUACCCGAAAUCCCUUCAUGAUCAACAUUCAGAUCUGCCGUUUAUGUGUGAGAAGAUUACCCCUCCUGGUUCAAAGAUAAAAAAAUUAAUCUUGACGUUAAACGAUAAAAAAAAGUAUAUUGUGCACCACUCAAUUUUAAAGCAGGCUCUGAAGGAGGGUCUUGUUUUAAAAAAGGUGCAUAAGGUACUUCAA